Molecule: long non-coding RNA, 831 nt
Filed under: Marmota monax (woodchuck)
Lineage: Eukaryota; Metazoa; Chordata; Mammalia; Rodentia; Sciuridae
Source: RNAcentral
AUAACUUUAAAGUUAUUUACCCCUUCCAUUUCAUUGGGGCCAGUAUUAGUAUUGGAAGUCACCUGUGUGGGAAUACCUGCGAGGAGGCACACAAAGAACAGACACAGACACAAAUAGUGCCAGCAGACAGGAGGAGCAGAGAGGAGUGAGGUGAAGUGGUGAAGAAGAAGUGCAGAAGUGGGGGGUCUGCCCCUCCCUGCCAGGAGUUUAUUCACUCCAAGAACACCUACCUCCUGUUACCAUGAUGAUAUUCUAAUUAGUAUUUCUUUAGCCUGAAUUCUAAAUACUAAGUAAUUAGUAUUUCUUUAACCUUAGCUAACUGAGAUAAGGUCCAGGUUAAGAGAAACACAGAGCCCCUUCUCUCCAAGGACAUUGCUAAGGAAACCAUCCAGUGCCUGCAUAGUUGUCUUAUUACCUCAGAGGGAGAAGGCUGGGCAUUUCCAUCGUGGGAAUCAGGGGAAACCUGUGAAGGACAUGCUAUGGCAGCCACCCAUCCUGUGCCUUUGCACAGGAGUUUCCCAGUCACCAGGUAUUACCUAGCAGCCAGGCAUCCUGUGUCUUUGCAUAGAAACUUCCUAGUCACUAAUAAUGUCACAAUCAUGAAGUUUGUAGACCCCAAUCCCAAACACAGAAUUCCCACACAGGCUUAUAUUUUUUUCUGUCCUAUAGAUGAUGGCUUUUUUUUUUAAAUUCACUUAGGUUGUUCUGUCUUAAAGAAAGAAUACUUCUUUAAAACACUAAUAGGCAAAAGUUAUAAAGUUCUAUGAGAAUACAUAAUGAAAAUAACAAGACUGAAAACUUUUAGUUUGUAUAACAGCUGUGAACCAAGAA